Molecule: ribosomal RNA, 688 nt
Filed under: uncultured Lachnospiraceae bacterium
Lineage: Bacteria; Bacillati; Bacillota; Clostridia; Lachnospirales; Lachnospiraceae
Description: bacterial SSU rRNA
Rfam family: Bacterial small subunit ribosomal RNA
Source: RNAcentral
GAUGAACGCUGGCGGCGUGCUUAACACAUGCAAGUCGAACGGGAAAUAUUUCAUUGAGACUUCGGUGGAUUUGAUCUAUUUCUAGUGGCGGACGGGUGAGUAACGCGUGGGUAACCUGCCUUAUACAGGGGGAUAACAGUCAGAAAUGGCUGCUAAUACCGCAUAAGCGCACAGAGCUGCAUGGCUCAGUGUGAAAAACUCCGGUGGUAUAAGAUGGACCCGCGUUGGAUUAGCUUGUUGAUGGGGUAACGGCCCACCAAGGCGACGAUCCAUAGCCGGCCUGAGAGGGUGAACGGCCACAUUGGGACUGAGACACGGCCCAGACUCCUACGGGAGGCAGCAGUGGGGAAUAUUGCACAAUGGGGGAAACCCUGAUGCAGCGACGCCGCGUGAAGGAAGAAGUAUCUCGGUAUGUAAACUUCUAUCAGCAGGGAAGAUAGUGACGGUACCUGACUAAGAAGCCCCGGCUAACUACGUGCCAGCAGCCGCGGUAAUACGUAGGGGGCAAGCGUUAUCCGGAUUUACUGGGUGUAAAGGGAGCGUAGACGGUGUGGCAAGUCUGAUGUGAAAGGCAUGGGCUCAACCUGUGGACUGCAUUGGAAACUGUCAUACUUGAGUGCCGGAGGGGUAAGCGGAAUUCCUAGUGUAGCGGUGAAAUGCGUAGAUAUUAGGAGGAACACCAGUGGCG